AUGAAGCAGCCGCCAGUCCCCGCACAGACGAGUGGAGCCCGUGCAGCAGGUUUAAAAGUGUUGCACAGACAGCCGUUGGGACAGGACAGCCUCUCACACUGGCCAGGCACCGGAUGGCUCCCACAGGGCUCCCACACCUGCCGGCAUGGACGCUCGCCUCACCCCCUCGGCCGGCUGAGAGCAGGGCCAGCGUCCUGGGUGUGGCGGACCUGUGCCAGCCCGAGUGCUGGGACGUCGGGCGUGGAGGGCAGACAGAUUCCAGUUUGUCUGGCACCGAGAAAAAAUAAACCCCUGCCCGGGGCCCCAUUCGGCGCCGCGGUGGAUAGCCUGUGGCAGGUGGCGGCAGAGAGUGGAGCCGGUGCGGAGGCCACGCAGCAGGCAGAGGCUGGCGGCAGCAGACUUCGCUUUCUGGGCAGCGUCUCUCCUAGGGCCCGCCAGGGUCUCAGGCUGGGGCGGAGCGCCACCAACCAUGGAGAACGAGGAAGACAUCAGCAGCUCCAUAGGCGCCCUGAGAAAAUCUUCCCUAAGCAUCAGGCUCGAUGCCCGAGUCCCCGAGCCCACGGCGGACCUGUGUCCACGAGGAUGACCAGACUCACACGUGGCGAUGGGCGCUGCCUACCGUCUCACUUGAGGCGUGCCCUCUCCCCCUCCCUGUCUCUGUGGUACUGGGAGCCCAGGGCCUUUGCACUGAGCUACAUCACUGCUUUUUUCCUUUUUGUUUAGGCACCAUCUCAUUGUUUCCCUGUGUUACUUAGGCUGAUCUCAAACUUGCGAUCCUCCUGCCUCAGCCUCCUGGAGUGUUGGGGUCAAACCCAGGGUCUUGCCCAUGGCAGAUGGUGUUGUGUCACUGAGCCACGCCCCCAGCUCUAAAUGCAAGCGCCCUUGACUUGGAAUUCAGAAAACAAGUACAGUGCGACAAUAUUUCUGUCCCUAACUUGGGGAGAGCCAAGCCUAACAAAGACAGUGCUUAUGCCGUUCCCUGGGAUGGAGCACAGGAAGGGUGGGGCCGGAAACCCGAAUGACAUCAAGCUCCACACAGCCACAGGUGUUUCUGGCGCACGAUCAGGGCUGAGAACCUCUGCUGGGUUCAGGGGCACAGUGACAGCAGGCAGCAGACAGCAGCGCUUCCGGGUCGAUGUUCAUGUUCCAGUCCUCUUGGUCAGAAAGAAGCUGCUGUGGCACCUGACCCACACUGGUCCCCAUCCUGCAGGGAAAGGCUGGUGUCCAGCAAAUGGAGACAGCGGGGGAAUGAACAGAGCAGAGAUAGGAGCCACCAGCGAAGCCCUGGCCAGAGGGUGACGUCACGGGCUCAGCCUUGUCCUGCCUCUUGCUGUUCUAACUGGAAUGUCACGGCUCUGGUGGUUUCUCUUGUUUUUUUUUUUCCAGUGCUAGGACUCAAACCCAGAGUGUUGUGCCUGGAGAACUUGUGUUUCCCACUGAGCUACUCCCCAGACCCUGAGAUCGUUCUUCAAAGCCAGCUUUAUUUGUUUUUGUUUUUGUUUUUGUUUUUGUUUUUGUUUUUCUUCUGGUACCAGGAAUCGAACUCACCACCUUGCACUUGCCAGGCAGGCGCUGUGCCACUGAGCUAAAUCCCCAGCCCCAAAGCCAGCUUUAGCCAGGCGUGGUGACACACACCUAUCAUUCCAGCACCUGGGAGGCUGAGGCAGGAGGACUGCCAUGAGUUCCACACCACCCUGGGCUACAUCAUGAGACCCUGUCUCAGCCCCCACCCCACAAAAAGAUUGCCCUUUGUUUUGGCCCAGCAAGGUGCUUGCAUGACCUGGCCUUCCCUUGGCACUGUGUGGUCCUGGGGGCGUCCGGUCCCUUCCCAAGCCUUAGUUUCCACAGCAGUUACAGCAGAUCGGUAGCCCCCGCCUCUGACCUCAGCGGCGGCAGCAGAGCGCUUGCCUAGCUGUGCCAGGCCUGGUUCCAUCACCCCAGAGCUGCAGAACAAAACAAAAUGAGACAGCAGCAGCGAGAACAAAAGCACACCUGCCUCGUGGUGGUGAGGAAACGAGCGGCUGGGUUCUGCCAGAGCCAGAGGGGCCUUCCCGGCCUCUCACUGCUCCGGGCCCCGGGACCGCUGCCCUGGGCUGCAGCAAGGGCCACAUCAACCCUUAGGAUGUUCUUUCUGGUUCUUGGUGUCCUGGACAAAGAAUUGGACAAAGCACACACACAAAAAAAGGCAGCGAAAGUAUACCUUUAAAAAAUUUUUAAAUGUUUGCAACAAGGUCUCACUAUGUAGUCCAGACUAGCCUUGAGCUCCCGGGUAUCCUCCUGCCUCAGCCUCCCAACUGCUGGGGUUACGCCCACCAAAAGUAUACUUUUAUUAAAGGUGGAAAAGAGGUGCACUCUACAGGGCAAGAGCAGGCCUGUGAAAGGGCUCACAAUGGCCCAAGGGUAGGGGAAAGUAGCCCUUUGUACCCAGAGUUCCUGGGCUGACCUCCUUGACGUGCACACAGGCCUGAGCACACUCAUCCUGUCACUCACUCACUUGGCUGCAGCCCUGUGUAAGCUGUCCUCUGGGAACACUUGCUUUGCUGUGGGGUGUGAAUGAAGGCUCAGAAACGUCUCUGGAUUGGUUGUGCCCACACGCACAUGAAGGAUUGAAAAUUGUGACUUCUGAUUGGUCCUAUGGAGUGCUCCGGUUUCAAAUGAGAGAUUGAGAUUUAUCUGGCUACUGUACUCAGCGACCUGGAGUGACUGUAGGGCUCAUAUCCUGUGCCCGUCCUCUCUUCUUACCCAGCAUCUCCCCCAUCCUGUUGGCCACAGGUUUUAUUUUUGUUUGUUUGUUUUUGUCUUUUUGAGACAGGGUC
This is a long non-coding RNA of Chinchilla lanigera (long-tailed chinchilla), 2816 nucleotides long. The record is from Ensembl. Lineage: Eukaryota; Metazoa; Chordata; Mammalia; Rodentia; Chinchillidae.